This is a non-coding RNA of Triplophysa rosa, 444 nucleotides long. Lineage: Eukaryota; Metazoa; Chordata; Actinopteri; Cypriniformes; Nemacheilidae. The record is from the annotation of a RefSeq genome assembly.
UUAUAUUGCAUGGAGUUUCAGAGAUAUCAGUGGAAGAUGUAUCAGAGUUAUUUUACGCUCAUAGUUCUGGUUUCAUAUGUACAUGGUCAGUCACUGACCUCCUCUGGCCCUGAUGUGAAGAAACCUGGAGAAACAGUCAAACUGUCCUGUCAGGUUACUGGACUCUCCCUUAGCUGGUUGUAUUGGAUCCGUCAGAAACCACACAGUGGACUGGAAUGGAUUGGGCGAAUCGACAGUGGCACUGGCACUAUUUAUGCUCAGUCUCUACAGGGUCAGUUCGCCAUCACUAAAGACACCAGCAAAAACAUGGUGUAUUUGCAGAUAAACAGCCUGAAGACUGAGGACACAGCUGUGUAUUACUGUGCAAGAGAGUCACAGUUAGACAAAAGACUGCAGCGCUCAACAAAAACAUGUUUUCUGUUUAUCAAGUACAGUCAAAUAUGA